UGCAAGUCGGACGAGGAGCCUUUGUAUUCGUACGAGGGAUUUCCUAGAGGCGAACGGGUGAGUAUCGCGUUGGUAACCUGCCCUGAAGAGAGGGACGACAAUUCGAAAGAAUUGCUAAUACCUCAUGUGAACAUAAGUCUUAGACGGCUAAUGUUUAAAGGAGUAAUCCGCUUCAGGAGGGGCCUGCGUCCCAUCAGCUAGUUGGUAAGGUAAUGGCUUACCAAGGCUAUGACGGGUAGGGGACCUGAGAGGGUGGUCCCCCACAAUGGAACUGAAACACGGUCCAUACACCUACGGGUGGCAGCAGUAGGGAAUAUUGCACAAUGGGCGAAAGCCUGAUGCAGCAACGCCGCGUGAGCGAUGAAGGCCCUCGGGUCGUAAAGCUCUUUUACGAGGGAAGAGAAAGGACGGUACCUCGUGAAUAAGGAUCGGCUAACUACGUGCCAGCAGCCGCGGUAACACGUAGGAUUCGAACGUUAUCCGGAUUUAUUGGGCGUAAAGCGCGUGUAGGCGGUUUGGCAAGUUGGAUGUGAAAGCUCCAGGCUCAACCUGGAGAGGUCGUUCAAAACUGCCAGACUAGAGGACGGUAGAGGGAGGUGGAAUUCCGGGUGUAGUGGUGAAAUGCGUAGAUAUCCGGAGGAACACCAGUGGCGAAGGCGGCCUCCUGGGCCGUUUCCUGACGCUCA
This 686-nucleotide ribosomal RNA is filed under the name uncultured bacterium. Its description in RNAcentral is "bacterial SSU rRNA". It matches the Rfam family "Bacterial small subunit ribosomal RNA", at positions 56 to 749 of the family's 1533-position model. The record is from RNAcentral.